GACGAACGCUGGCGGCGUGCUUAACACAUGCAAGUCGAACGGUGAAGCGCCUUCCUUUUUGGAGGGUGUGGACGAGUGGCGAACGGGUGAGUAACACGUGAGUAACCUGCCUCCUUCUUCUGGAUAACCGCAUGAAAGUGUGGCUAAUACGGGAUAUUCUGGGUCUGUCGCAUGAUGGGUCUGGUAGGGAUAUUGUUUCGGUGCGGGCUGGGCUCGCGGCCUAUCAGCUUGUUGGUGGGGUGGUGGCCUCCCAAGGCGGUGACGUGUAGCCGGGCUGAGAGGUAGCAGGGUCAAGAGGGUGGUGGGACACAGCGGAGCCGCGAACGGGAGGCGGCUGUGGCGAAAAGUGGACGAGGGGCGCAAUGCUGAUGGAGCGACGGCGCGAGGGGGAGGGGGGCCGUGGGGGUGGGAGCCUCUUGCGUUAGAGAAGCAGGCCGGCCGGGAUUGUGCGUGGGUUGACGGUAGCUGGAUAAGAAGCGCCGGCUAACUACGUG
RNAcentral lists this ribosomal RNA (494 nucleotides) under uncultured bacterium. Its description in RNAcentral is "partial 16S ribosomal RNA". It matches the Rfam family "Bacterial small subunit ribosomal RNA", at positions 28 to 507 of the family's 1533-position model. The record is from RNAcentral.